AGUAAGGAAUAUUGGUCAAUGGACGAAAGUCUGAACCAGCUAUGCCGCGUGGAGGAUGAAGGCCCUCUGGGUUGUAAACUUCUUUUAUAUGGGACGAAAAAGGGCCUUUCUAGGCCAACUGACGGUACCAUGUGAAUAAGCACCGGCUAACUCCGUGCCAGCAGCCGCGGUAAUACGGAGGGUGCAAGCGUUAUCCGGAUUCACUGGGUUUAAAGGGUGCGUAGGUGGGUUGGUAAGUCAGUGGUGAAAUCCCCGAGCUUAACUUGGGAACUGCCAUUGAUACUAUCAGUCUUGAAUACCGUGGAGGUCAGCGGAAUAUGUCAUGUAGCGGUGAAAUGCUUAGAUAUGACAUAGAACACCAAUUGCGAAGGCAGCUGGCUACGCGAAUAUUGACACUGAGGCACGAAAGCGUGGGGAUCAAA
RNAcentral lists this ribosomal RNA (422 nucleotides) under uncultured Terrimonas sp. RNAcentral's name for it is "bacterial SSU rRNA". It matches the Rfam family "Bacterial small subunit ribosomal RNA", at positions 353 to 772 of the family's 1533-position model. The record is from RNAcentral. Lineage: Bacteria; Pseudomonadati; Bacteroidota; Chitinophagia; Chitinophagales; Chitinophagaceae.